UCUCAUGCUUUACUCCAAAUAUCCCCCAGAAUAACUUCUCCUGUUACUUACCACUCUUCUCACAAGGUGGUAGUGAAAAGUGAAGUAGAUUUACAAUUACUUUGUAUCAAAGGGACUACCUUUAAUACCAAUCCUAAUCUAAUGCUUGGUAGCAAGCCUCUGAAAACCUUAUUUUCUUCUCCUUUUUCCUUAGAGUCUUUAAAAACAACCUCAAAGACUUCAUAGAGAAAUUUUUCCCCAUGGCAUGCCCUGUGCAGAGCCUCACAUUUAAUGCCCACACUGACAGUACCUGCUACAGGCUUUUCAGAUCAUGGCCAAAGACUACCGAAGUCACUGAAAAACAGUGGUGUACAAAGAACACUGUUACUUUCAAGAAACUGGAAGACACAUUUUGUGGAAGCACAGACCGGGAUAUAGUCUGAGGGUUCUCGCUCUAUCACACUGAAGGCAUUGUGACAAUACAGCAGUACCCAGCCAAUUUGCUUCUUCCUUCUGGAGUCUUUGCAAACUUGAAUGUUUGCUUCAUAUGUUAUUGUUGAAGGAUCAGUACAUACAAAAAAAUUAAAUACAUGUCCUCAAAACUACUGAGAAGGAAUUGAGGGCAGCCGAGAACAGGAUCUGCAGUUGGCAGCAGAGAUGUCUGACUGUAGAAACUUCUUGAGGCUCACCGUAGUCCACUGAGUGCUCUCCACUUCCUCAUCCAGGGACCCCAACGAGAGGGAUGAAAUAUGCACAUCU
Neopelma chrysocephalum (saffron-crested tyrant-manakin) is the source of this 738-nucleotide long non-coding RNA. RefSeq lists it as uncharacterized. Lineage: Eukaryota; Metazoa; Chordata; Aves; Passeriformes; Pipridae. The record is from RefSeq and is a predicted model, not a curated record. The transcript has 3 exons.